Molecule: unclassified non-coding RNA, 253 nt
Filed under: uncultured Pirellulaceae bacterium
Lineage: Bacteria; Pseudomonadati; Planctomycetota; Planctomycetia; Pirellulales; Pirellulaceae
Description: contains 16S-23S intergenic spacer region
Rfam family: Bacterial small subunit ribosomal RNA
Source: RNAcentral
UACGGACCGGACAAACGUUAUUCGGAAUUAUUGGGCUUAAAGGGUGCGCAGGCGGCCUGGAAGGUGGGAAGUGAAAUCCCUCGGCUCAACCGAGGAAUUGCUUCUCAAACCACUAGGCUUGAGUAGGACAGAGGUGAGCGGAACUGAUGGUGGAGCGGUGAAAUGCGUUGAUAUCAUCAGGAACACCGGUGGCGAAGGCGUCUCACUGGGUCCUUUCUGACGCUGAGGCACGAAAGCUAGGGUAGCGAACGGG